UACGUAGGGCGCAAGCGUUGUCCGGAAUUAUUGGGCGUAAAGAGCUCGUAGGCGGCUUGUCACGUCGAUUGUGAAAGCCCGGGGCUUAACCUCGGGUCUGCAGUCGAUACGGGCUGGCUAGAGUGUGGUAGGGGAGAUCGGAAUUCCUGGUGUAGCGGUGAAAUGCGCAGAUAUCAGGAGGAACACCGGUGGCGAAGGCGGAUCUCUGGGCCAUUACUGACGCUGAGGAGCGAAAGCGUGGGGAGCGAACAGG
This 253-nucleotide ribosomal RNA is filed under the name uncultured bacterium. RNAcentral describes it as "partial 16S ribosomal RNA". It matches the Rfam family "Bacterial small subunit ribosomal RNA", at positions 524 to 776 of the family's 1533-position model. The record is from RNAcentral.